RNAcentral lists this unclassified non-coding RNA (291 nucleotides) under Pleosporales sp. RNAcentral describes it as "partial contains 5.8S ribosomal RNA, internal transcribed spacer 2, and large subunit ribosomal RNA". The stretch from base 1 to 71 matches the Rfam family "5.8S ribosomal RNA", at positions 84 to 154 of the family's 154-position model. Lineage: Eukaryota; Fungi; Ascomycota; Dothideomycetes; Pleosporales. The record is from RNAcentral.
GUGAAUCAUCGAAUCUUUGAACGCACAUUGCGCCCCUCGGUAUUCCGUGGGGCAUGCCUGUUCGAGCGUCAUUUAAACCCUCAAGCUCAGCUUGGUGUUGGGUGCUUGUCCCGCCUUCUGCGCGGCGACUCACCUCAAAAUCAGUGGCAGCCCGCAUCCGCCGGCCGUGAGCGCAGCACAAUCGCGCCCUAGGUCCCGGCGGGUCGGCUCUCCAGAAGCCUAUUUUACCACUUUUGACCUCGGAUCAGGUAGGGAUACCCGCUGAACUUAAGCAUAUCAAUAAGCGGAGGA